This 425-nucleotide ribosomal RNA is filed under the name uncultured bacterium. Its description in RNAcentral is "partial 16S ribosomal RNA". It matches the Rfam family "Bacterial small subunit ribosomal RNA", at positions 354 to 796 of the family's 1533-position model. The record is from RNAcentral.
GUGGGGAAUAUUGGACAAUGGGCGAAAGCCUGAUCCAGCAAUGCCGCGUGAGUGAUGAAGGCCUUAGGGUUGUAAAGCUCUUUUACCAGGGAUGAUAAUGACAGUACCUGGAGAAUAAGCUCCGGCUAACUCCGUGCCAGCAGCCGCGGUAAUACGGAGGGAGCUAGCGUUGUUCGGAAUUACUGGGCGUAAAGCGCGCGUAGGCGGUCCAUCAAGUCAGAGGUGAAAGCCCGGGGCUCAACCCCGGAACUGCCUUUGAAACUAGCGGACUAGAAUCUUGGAGAGGUCAGUGGAAUUCCGAGUGUAGAGGUGAAAUUCGUAGAUAUUCGGGAGAACACCAGUGGCGAAGGCGACUGACUGGACAAGUAUUGACGCUGAGGUGCGAAAGCGUGGGGAGCAAACAGGAUUAGAAACCCCAGUAGUCC